This 595-nucleotide ribosomal RNA is filed under the name uncultured Lachnospiraceae bacterium. Its description in RNAcentral is "bacterial SSU rRNA". It matches the Rfam family "Bacterial small subunit ribosomal RNA", at positions 102 to 713 of the family's 1533-position model. Lineage: Bacteria; Bacillati; Bacillota; Clostridia; Lachnospirales; Lachnospiraceae. The record is from RNAcentral.
ACGGGUGAGUAACGCGUGAGGAACCUGCCUCAAAGAGGGGGACAACAGUUGGAAACGACUGCUAAUACCGCAUAAGCCCACAGCUCGGCAUCGAGCAGAGGGAAAAGGAGCAAUCCGCUUUGAGAUGGCCUCGCGUCCGAUUAGCUAGUUGGUGAGGUAAUGGCCCACCAAGGCGACGAUCGGUAGCCGGACUGAGAGGUUGAACGGCCACAUUGGGACUGAGACACGGCCCAGACUCCUACGGGAGGCAGCAGUGGGGAAUAUUGCACAAUGGGGGAAACCCUGAUGCAGCGACGCCGCGUGGAGGAAGAAGGUCUUCGGAUUGUAAACUCCUGUUGUUGAGGAAGAUAAUGACGGUACUCAACAAGGAAGUGACGGCUAACUACGUGCCAGCAGCCGCGGUAAAACGUAGGUCACAAGCGUUGUCCGGAAUUACUGGGUGUAAAGGGAGCGCAGGCGGGAAGGCAAGUUGGAAGUGAAAUCCAUGGGCUCAACCCAUGAACUGCUUUCAAAACUGUUUUUCUUGAGUAGUGCAGAGGUAGGCGGAAUUCCCGGUGUAGCGGUGGAAUGCGUAGAUAUCGGGAGGAACACCAGU